This 883-nucleotide long non-coding RNA is filed under the name Ananas comosus (pineapple). RNAcentral's name for it is "long non-coding RNA (ACOM_LNC032966)". Lineage: Eukaryota; Viridiplantae; Streptophyta; Magnoliopsida; Poales; Bromeliaceae. The record is from RNAcentral.
UUUUUUCGAUUUUCUUUUCUUUCACCGUUGUUUCAUCUGCCCUUCCUAAUGCCCCAACCGUCUUCUCCAUUCUAUUGUUCCCUCCCCUCUUUCUCUCUCUCUCUCUCCACUUGAAGUGGCACCCUCGACAAGGUAGUGAUGAUGCUGAUGUUGUCGCCAACCGCUCCAUCACAGUAUCUCUCUCUCCUCCCUCCUCUCUCUGUCCCUUUCUAAAACCCUACGGUAGCACCACCACCUCCGCCAUUGUCCUUAUGUUUCGCGAGGCGGCCAUCGUCAUCGAAGUCAUUUGGAAGAAGGUAAAUUAGCACAUCACCAAGGUCAACGCUAUUUCUGUCCUCGACCGCCACGAUGCCAUCGCCUAGGCUCCACCUCCGUCACCUUCAACAUCAUGCUCUUCGAGGCCUCAAUGGACGUCGCGGCGCGAUCGAGCCUUAGAUUCGUCCAACUUUUACCAGGUAUUACUAUUCUUCUUCAUCUUCUCUUCUUUCUUCUUUUUGAAUUGUCACUUUAUGCACAUUUUGGAUUCUAAAUUUUUUUCCCUUAAAAUUUCUACCAAUAUUGUGCAGGUUUCUAUACUAGUUAUUAUUAUGUGAGCAAAUUCAUAUGUAUCUUAAAAUUUAUAUACAAAUCAUUCAAACUCUUUUACAUUGUUUAUGCUAACGAAACAACAGCCCAUAGAGACGCGACACUCGAGAAUGAGCAACAAUAUAUAUUUCCCAGCAUUGAUAAUGUGAGAAAUUUUGUUUAUUUAAAGUUUAUUUUGUAAUAGGUAUUUUAUGCAGGCAGAUAAUAAUAUUCAAUAAAAACUUUUCAUUUUAUGUAAAAUUAUAAAAAGUAACCUUCUUGGAACUUACUUUUUACUUGAUUUUCUUUUUUAAGAAGG